GGACGUGGCUCAGUUGGUAGAGCAUCACCUUGCCAAGGUGAGGGUCGCGGGUUCGAGUCCCGUCGUCCG
RNAcentral lists this transfer RNA (69 nucleotides) under Cutibacterium acnes. It matches the Rfam family "tRNA". Rfam says of the family: Transfer RNA (tRNA) molecules are approximately 80 nucleotides in length. Their secondary structure includes four short double-helical elements and three loops (D, anti-codon, and T loops). The record is from RNAcentral. Lineage: Bacteria; Bacillati; Actinomycetota; Actinomycetes; Propionibacteriales; Propionibacteriaceae. RNAcentral also lists the same sequence under 5 other names.